This 69-nucleotide transfer RNA is filed under the name Alcedo atthis (common kingfisher). RNAcentral's name for it is "tRNA-Gly". The record is from RNAcentral. Lineage: Eukaryota; Metazoa; Chordata; Aves; Coraciiformes; Alcedinidae. RNAcentral also lists the same sequence under 1 other name.
GCCCUUCUAGUAUAAUCAUUACAAUUGACUUCCAAUCUCUAAAAUCUGGUACAACCCCAGAGAUGGGCA